GUUUUUUUUUUGUUUCUAGAAGAUCCUCCACAUAUUUGUCGAUCCCCUUCGCCCGCGCUCCCGAAAAACAGAAGCGAAGCGCGCGGGAAGAGGCGGGCAGCGGCGGCGGGAAGCAGGCCUCGACGGCGGCGCAGGUCAGCCUCCCCAUCUUCCUUCUCUCCGCCCGCCCCCCGCCUUUCUCCCUCUCCGCGGCGUUACGCGUCGCCCCAUCUGGCCCUCGCGGCGGCGGCCCCCAUCUGGGAUGCGGCUCGGCAACCACGACCAGAGAGCCUAUGCCGGCCGCUGCCUCGCGCCACUCAUGGCGACCGCCGCGUCGCCCUCUCACCAACCACGGCCGGGACCCCAUGGCUCCCCUUGCCCCUGUGGCCGGCACCCCCAUGGCGGCUGCUAUUGUACAAGCGCUGUUUUUCUUUGUAUAUGUGCCGCUGUUUGUAUAAGUGCUGUUGUUGUGUUCUUGAUGUAUAUAACCAUUCAUAAAUAAAUUCACAUGUUGCAUAGAAGUUAGUUUUAAACAUUUCAUCAAAGUACAAUGUUCAUCCUAUUCCGAACUGAGUCUCUCAUGUGAAUUCCAAGUGUCAGUUCUUGAACAUCCAAACACCAGAGUUCAGUUUCAGUUUCAAUAUCAAAUUAUCAAUGUCUGGGAGAUUUGAUAUUGGGACAAAUUCACUUUCAAUAUCAAAAUCCGAACGGAGCCUUAGAAUGUUACUCCACAUGAGAAUAUGGAAAACCAAAUUUGUUGAGUGAGUUGGACUUUCUCUCAUUGGCACAGUGCAAAUUGUUCCUGCAUGCAGGGUUGGGAAUAGUGAUCUGUCCCACUUGGUGAAAUGCCUUGUUACUACGACGUUGAUGACAUCCUCAUGGAGGAGGAGGUAACCAUGCUCGUGUUACCCUCUGCUUCAUUUAUGCUUGUACAAAUGACAUGAAUACUCUGCUGUAAUUGCAGCUUAUUUCGGUUGUUUUCCAAGUGACUGCAAAUGGUGUUGGAAUGCUAGAUCCUGGCGCUGAGAGAAACAGUGUAAGCAUCUUUCCAACGGCUUUUGUGCAUUUUAUGUUUAUCUGCUAUGUUAAACCUGCUGAUGGGCAUCUGCUGCUAAUUCUUUAUCUGGUCUGUUUGGUCUUGAGCAAAUUACUUCUCACAUGCGCUGACUAGUUAGAUGAUGUUUAUCUGAGAUAGAUGCAUCGUGCAUUCUUGCUCAUUUUAGUUUGCAAAUCCGAUAUGGAACGCUAGGUGCUUUCUUUAUUUCCCUGCGUGCCAUGUUUCUUGGUGAACACUACCUUGGAGUUAGAUGCUUUGUUUUUGAGCACCUUUUCUUGCUACCAUGGAAAAUGAAAUGGCGUAUUUUGCCUGGUUCCAAUGAAAAGAGAAAUGAUCUUAUUCUUUAUGUUCAGGUUGAAAAGGGUGCCAAGGUAGACCUUCCAUUUUGGCUUGCUCAUGGGAUGCUGUCUCUGGAACAAGCGGUGUCGAUAAACGUACCUCCUUGCUUCACCCAGAAGUAGGUCUCUUUGUAUUCUGUUUUGCAUCUGUAGAAAUUCUUAAGAGGGACAUCAAAAUAUACUGUAUGCAGUAGUAUGUAGCUAUGUUUUUAAGGCGACGCCUUACCGCCUUAGGGAGGGGGGGCGCUUUGGCGCCUAGGCGACGCCUAGGCGGGCGCUUUGGACGCCUAGGCGCCCAAAGCGGUCGAUUUUCCAAAGCGGAGGGGGAGCGCUUCGACGCCUAGGCGUCGCCUAGGCGUCGCCUUAGGGACGCUUUAAAAACAUAGGUAUGUAGUUGUCGUUCUCAUUUCAACAUAUUUAGACGUACUUUACUUGCAGAACUCGGAAGGAGAUCCAAGCUGAUGCAGCCUGUGUUGAUUUGAGGGUUCGGUGCCCUUACUUUUAUGAGCUAGGAUGCAAGAUUGUUCCUCUGUAAGUUCUGAACGACCUCAGUUACACGUAAUAUUUUAUUUCCUUUUUCUUCCAUCUCAUUACCUUUUUCUAUGCAAUCUUAAAUUUGCAAAUUCUCAUUAAAAUGCUUCUGUAUCAUAUUCGGUAGAAAUACAUUACCCACUCCAUUGCUUUGCAGAACUUUGAUGAGCCUUAGACAUCUUAUAGUCUCAGUUACAAUAACCGGGCAAUUGUGUAGGCAUACAGGAUACAGCACUACAGUACAUUAUCCUUUCUGCAUGUAUUCUGUUUUUGUAAAACUUGGAAUGCUUCCAUCUCCAUGAGCAAGAUAGUUUCAGUCAUCAGUCAUAUAUUAAGUUAAAAUAGGAGGAACUUCUGUAAGUUCAAGUAGCUGUAAUCUUGGGGAGAAGAUGCAUAUGAAUUGUGUAUAGGCAAGUUGAUUUCUUGUGAACAGAAAUGCAAUCAUAUGGUUUUCUUUUCUGAGAGCCCAGACUAAAACAUGCUUUUAACCACACUCGCAGUGUAUCUCCCAUCUCAGUUUAGCCAAACUAUGUUCAAACUGGUGUUCUACUGUUCUAAUUUCGCAUUUUAGCAAGCCCCUCUGUCCACUCCAACAAAUGAUUUAAUAUGUCAUAAGGAGACAUGCCUUCUUGCUUUAGUUUUUUAUAGUGUCAGUUUUGAUCCUAACAAGAUUCAAAUGAACCGCACCUUCUUAAAAUUCGAUUGAUUGCUGCUGUUGGUCCUCUUCUUUCAUUUUAAGAAGGUAUUAUAUGGUCGCGUUGAAAUGAUCAAAUAUAUUCCCUGCUGACUACAACUGUUGCCGAGACCAAACUAUCAUUCUAGGAAAUUUAAUCAUACACCUGACAAAUGACCUCUGAUGCCACCAGGUCAUUUUGUGCUUGUAACACGUGUUGAUUCUGUGUUUGACAUAUGGUGAUAUGAACAGAAUACACCAUAACUAAGUCUUCCUGAAUAAAUAAGUUAUGAUUAUUUGAGGUCUGUCCCUUUUCAAAGGCAUACUCUGGACUCUGCACUUAAAUGACAAGAGCUGGCUGCAAUUGUCGUAAUCUGAACAAUUCAGACAUAGAUCUCAAUGGUCUUUUGCCUUCAAUUUUAGUGCUCACUAGAACAGAAAUAGGGAAAUGUUUAGUAGCCACCUGUAGCACAUGUUGUGAGCAACUGUGUGAACUUGUAGAGGUACCACUUGACAAUGAAUUGGUUAUACUCUUGAGUGAUCCUAAUUGGGGUUUGAGUUUCUUAUGAUGGUUCAUGUGAUUUGGUUGAAAAGGUGUAACUAUUCUCAGAUUAGAUAAGAUCUAUGUCAAUUACAGUGCCAAUGUGUCAUUCCAUGGCAUGCAUUAUGUGACACAUUCUUUUGUGGUCGGUUUAGAGGUCUGAAUAUCCUUGUCAAAUUGGCCCAAUCCAUCUGGUUACUGUUCACAAUCAGUUCGAAGACCCCUGCAGUUACUGCUGUAGUCACAUAUUCGUCAGUUCUGUGAAAUAUUGUUAUGUGUUGCCUUUGUAGUCUGUAUACUGAAGUUAGGGAUCCCAUGAAGUUAUUGUGUAGUGAUGUCUGGUCACCUUAUAUAUUACUCCCUCCAUUUCUAAUACAUUUCACUGUAGCAUUUUUGCUCCUUAAUGCAUAUCAUUUUACUAUUUUGAGGCAACUACCAUUUUCCCCUUUUGUCCAUUUUCAAAGCCAUUUAUUAGUAUAGACUAGACUGUGUGACUAGCACAAAACUCCGAAAGGUAAUAAGUGGUGUAGUAGAGGGGGAAUUCGAUCUUUAACCCCACUUUUGCUGGUACUAUGAUAAUUCGUUCUUACAUCGUAAUGGGUUAUUUCCCCACCUUUCUUUGCAUUUGAUCUUUUGCCCUCUAGCAGCCUGCACCCACAUUCAGUAGUGAAUUAGGAGUAGGACUGGAGAACAUCUGCGUAUCAGAUUUCAGAAUUCAGCCCUCUAGCAGCCUGCACCCACAGUCAGCAGUGAACUAGGAGUAGGACUGGAGAAAUGUUUCUGCAUAUCAGAUUUCAGAUUUCAGAACAGACCACGUCUGACAUGGACUAGGAGUAGGAAUUCAGAAUUCAGGACAUGGUUCCAUCUAUAUUUAAUGCUGUUGGCCUGAUAAGUCAAGUUGAAGAUGUCCGACUGAGAACCAAGUGUUGACUUGUAAAUUAGUCGAGUCUCUUAAUCAUUGGGAUGAGAUAUGGUGCACGUGUACAGGAAUGGAUCCAGUAAUGAGUAGGAAUGUCUGAACAGGGUCGAAUGCGCCCUUAGGUGUCUAGACGCUUAACCAGAGUAUUGGCACACAUAGUUGAUGUAUUGGAAAAUUUCAGAUAACCGAAUGACUAAAAAUUGAGACUGAAUCAUGACUGCUGCUCAAUUUUUUAUUUGAGUUACUAUAAUGGUCAGACUAAAUUAUAUCCCUCACUGAUUUAUUAUGUUUGCAUCGACAGGGUGGGUGACAAGAGCAUCGGCCAGUUCUUGCGCUACGCGUUCACCAGCAGGUACAAGGAGGUACUAAGCAAGGCACACAGCUCUUCGACGAUGACAGUGCCCAAGUUCGCAACACGACUUACAAAAGAGGAGGCUCAAGGUACAGACAUCUCCCUCGUGCGCUCACUCAUUCCCCCAUUUGUUUUCUCUUACCAUACCAACUACUCUAACUCGGGUUAACUUUUUUCUUUUUCUGCCGUGUGAAGUGUUUGAAUCUGCUAGGGAGUCGAUAUCCGCCUUCAGGAAGUGGCGCGUCGGGGGUGCGAGACUGCAGAAGGCGUCCAUUCUUGGAAGGAAGAGGAAGACAAAGCUGCCUGAUGGGCCUUCGACGCCCUGAACUGUGUACUGCGCAGCAGCGGAGUCGGAGUGCCUGGGCAGGAGAUGGCCGAUGUAUGCACACUGAUUGAUCCGUGAUCAGCAGCCAUCCAUGCAUUUCAAUCUGGUGCACCUGAUGUGUCUGUCGUCUGAAACUCUGACUUCAACUCUUGUUUUUAGAUGCUUGUCUUACUGCAACUCUCGAGGAGGCUUUGCUUGUUAGUACAAAUCAUUGCAAAACAUCAUGUGCGCUCAUGUCUCCGUUCAUGCGACCAAAUGGAAUUAGCCAAAGAGCAGAAUAACUUGUGGCAUCUCUUGCAAUGACCGGUUGUUACUUCUCUGCAGAUAAACUUUGUGAGAGGAAAAGCAAAAAGCAGAACAACUUUUGGGGGGUUAAUGUAAAAUGAAUUUAGGGGGCAUGCCUGAAGCGGUACUGUAUUGCAAAGCUUCAUUUGUUUAAAAGAUCCAUGGGAGAUUAAAUUUGGAUGAUUAAAUUGUCUUUGGGAGGUUAAUGUAAAAAAAAAACUUUGGGUUGUUAAAAUUGCCAACUGGAAUGCAAACUGAGUGUGUCCAGUGCUCAACUUUGGACCACACCGGCGACCCAGCCUGCCGCCGCAGCCAGUGCUCAACUUUGUCCUGUGCUCUGUGCGCCUAUGUGGUAGGCUGGUACCUGGUAGCCACCGUCGUUUACUCGUAUCAAUUCAUCAGUUACAGACCUACAGACCACAGUACAGGUGCAGCCAAAUAACUUGCUGGAUCCCGUAUCACCUUAUUUAUGACGAAAAUAAACAGCACAACCAGGUUAAGAAAUCUUGACAUCUCAAAAAUUGCCAUAUCAGAUCAAAUAUAUUGCCAUUUAUGUUUGACGAUUAUACGCCAGAAGCCAUCUUCUUCUUCUUCUUCUUCUACAGACAGAAGAAGCACAUCUGUCCUCUAAGCUGAAAGCCCAUAAUAACUAGAGCCUAAUCAAAUAAUCUUCCCUAAGAUCCUAAACAGCAACAGGAGCUCAG
Molecule: long non-coding RNA, 5704 nt
Filed under: Triticum aestivum (bread wheat)
Lineage: Eukaryota; Viridiplantae; Streptophyta; Magnoliopsida; Poales; Poaceae
Description: long non-coding RNA (TAES_LNC009104)
Source: RNAcentral